GAAGAGAUAAGUGCUGAAAGCAUCUAAGCACGAAACUUGCCCCGAGAUGAGUUCUCCCUGAGACUUUAAGUCUCCUGAAGGAACGUUGAAGACGACGACGUUGAUAGGCCGGGUGUGUAAGCGCAGCGAUGCGUUGAGCUAACCGGUACUAAUGAACCGUGAGGCUUAACCUUACAACGCCGAAG
Molecule: ribosomal RNA, 185 nt
Filed under: Escherichia coli
Lineage: Bacteria; Pseudomonadati; Pseudomonadota; Gammaproteobacteria; Enterobacterales; Enterobacteriaceae
Also listed under: 4 other names
Description: partial 23S ribosomal RNA
Rfam family: Bacterial large subunit ribosomal RNA
Source: RNAcentral